CAACCUUUAAUUCUCUGUCUUUCCUCUGUCAUCUUAUCCUAACAAUUACUUCUCUUUUUCUUCAUAUACAGAAUCAAAUUUCUUAAUUUGUAUAUGUUAAGUUUCCCAUCGCAUCUUUUAGAGAUGCCUCACAUCUGCAAUGGAAUUCUUUCCGGGAGACAUGUUUAGAAUCGAAGGUGGAUGAGGCAGAAGAAGAUGAUGUUUGGUGGUAAAGAGGAACCUUGUGGUGGAGCGCGAAUACAUUUCUAUCUCUCCCGGUCUCGUGAUUCCUCUCAGCUUCAAGCCAUCUGGCUUUGUGGUGCUCGUUGACCUUUACGGCUGCUCUGAAUCCGGCUCA
Molecule: long non-coding RNA, 337 nt
Organism: Brassica oleracea var. oleracea
Lineage: Eukaryota; Viridiplantae; Streptophyta; Magnoliopsida; Brassicales; Brassicaceae
Exons: 2
Source: RefSeq, a predicted model, not a curated record